UCUCUCACCACUCUCAUCGGCUCCCUCUCUCCUUCUCGCCACUCUCUCUCCCUUCCUCUCAUCUGACGUCGCCGCCGCCGCCUACAAUUCCGCCGGCGCGUCGCCGGCGUACCACCGCCGCACUCAUCUCUCUCUAUCUUUCUCCCUUCUCCCUCAAUUCGCCAAACCCCCAAACCCCCAAAUCCACAAAUCCUAAAUCCCCAAAAUCGUCAAAAGCCCUAAGCUCCUGCCUACCCAUCCACCGCCUCCUUCCUCCGGCGAAGUCGUCGCCAUCAGCGACUGUCGGCGACAACAGCAGCCGCGGCCGACGCCAUCGCCACCUCCUCUGUCUCCCUCUCGCCUAACCCUUCUCUCCGUCCAACCGGCAAGCAGCAGCAGCUAAUAGGCCACCGCUGACCUCCCUCGCAAUCUCUCUCUCUCUCCUCGGUCAGUGGCAGACCACCACCACCGCCGGACGGACAGCAGCGAUGAGCCGCCGCCGCCUCCCUUUGUCCUGCGGCCCUCUCUCUCUGUUCACUCCGGCGCCUCCUCCUCUUACACGGCCGGAUGGCCGGCAGCGAGCACGCCGCCAUCCCGGCGCCGCUCAACUCAACCCAACACACACACACGGUUCAAAGCUGAUACAAGAAUUCAAGACUCUACCUUUCUUUUCCUUUCAUUGUUAAAACAAAACAUGUUUCAUAUAUGUAUA
RNAcentral lists this long non-coding RNA (691 nucleotides) under Salvia miltiorrhiza (redroot sage). Its description in RNAcentral is "long non-coding RNA (SMIL_LNC003032)". The record is from RNAcentral. Lineage: Eukaryota; Viridiplantae; Streptophyta; Magnoliopsida; Lamiales; Lamiaceae.